CCUACGGGCGGCAGCAGUGGGGAAUAUUGCGCAAUGGGCGAAAGCCUGACGCAGCGACGCCGCGUGAGGGAUGAAGGUCUUCGGAUCGUAAACCUCUGUCAGCAGGGAAGAACGGUCACUGUGCUAAUCAGCAGUGAAUUGACGGUACCUGCAAAGGAAGCACCGGCUAACUCCGUGCCAGCAGCCGCGGUAAUACGGAGGGUGCGAGCGUUAAUCGGAAUUACUGGGCGUAAAGCGCUCGUAGGCGGUAUGUCAAGUCAAGGGUGAAAUCCCCGCGCUCAACGUGGGAACUGCCUUUGAAACUGGCAGACUGGAGUGUGUGAGAGGAUAGUGGAAUUCCAGGUGGAGGAGUGAAAUCCGUAGAUAUCUGGAGGAACAUCAGUGGCGAAGGCGACUAUCUGGCACAUAACUGACGCUGAGGAGCGAAAGCGUGGGUAGCGAACAGGAUUAGAUACCCGGGUAGUC
Molecule: ribosomal RNA, 465 nt
Filed under: uncultured bacterium
Lineage: Bacteria
Description: partial 16S ribosomal RNA
Rfam family: Bacterial small subunit ribosomal RNA
Source: RNAcentral